GGCUCCUGUGGCCUUGGCAAGGUGCGCAACUUUCCGGCUUACCAGGCCUCUCCUUGUAUGUCCCCAUGGCAGGCAGGGCUGUUUCUUUCGGGGGAUGUUUAGGGGAAGCAGGGCUCUGCCUCCUGUGGCACAGUACAGUUCCCCGAGUGGAGGCCCGUACCUGGUUCUGCGGGCCCCCUUCUCCUCACAUAUAGAACCAACCUUCUCCUCACCUGAGGUGGAUUGGAGCUCAAGUGCUCCCUGCUGCUGACCUGGUGGACGCUGGUUGGAAUUCAGAGGACCCUUUAGCUUCGGGGAACCACACGCAGCUGACCCGACGGUGGAUCUGCGCAACAGGAUCACACUCCAGUGGCACACUCCCAGUUAUUAAUAUCGGAGAGAGAUACUGCUUCCACACUCAGCCGCUCCAGUUCAUAAGAAUUUGCUCUCGGCCAUCACAGCCAGAUCUCUCUAGAUUUAUAUGGCUGAUCUGAUAGCUCUACCUGAGAAACAUUCCUCCGACCAAACUGAUGCCCGAGGCUGUAGGCUAAGUGCUCUAAUACAGGACAAAGCAAUCACAGGUCCAAAAAUUAUGCAAGAGCGUCGCAGAAGACGCCCUACAUUUUGGGCAUCUGCCAUCCUCCUCCGGCACAAAAUGACUGCGUCUGCUCUGGGAGAUAUACGCUCUAUGGAUAGUUUUCACAUGAACCUCCUGAAGCACAGAGGAGUGCACCACCUUUAACACUGAAUGAUAAUAUUUCACUAUUGAGCCAUCUUGUGGCAAUGAGGGGAUGUCCCUUACCCAUGAGUCUGUGACUUGUGUCCAAGUGUAUUCUCUAUGACGGUCUAA
Molecule: long non-coding RNA, 829 nt
Organism: Pseudophryne corroboree (corroboree frog)
Lineage: Eukaryota; Metazoa; Chordata; Amphibia; Anura; Myobatrachidae
Exons: 4
Source: RefSeq, a predicted model, not a curated record